GAUGAACGCUGGCGGCGUGCCUAAUACAUGCAAGUCGAGCGAACAGACGAGGAGCUUGCUCCUCUGACGUUAGCGGCGGACGGGUGAGUAACACGUGGAUAACCUACCUAUAAGACUGGGAUAACUUCGGGAAACCGGAGCUAAUACCGGAUAAUAUAUUGAACCGCAUGGUUCAAUAGUGAAAGACGGUUUUGCUGUCACUUAUAGAUGGAUCCGCGCCGCAUUAGCUAGUUGGUAAGGUAACGGCUUACCAAGGCAACGAUGCGUAGCCGACCUGAGAGGGUGAUCGGCCACACUGGAGCUGAGACACGGUCCAGACUCCUACGGGAGGCAGCAGUAGGGAAUCUUACGCAAUGGGCGAAAGCCUGACGGAGCAACGCCGCGUGAGUGAUGAAGGUCUUCGGAUCGUAAAACUCUGUUAUUAGGGAAGAACAAAUGUGUAAGUAACUAUGCACGUCUUGACGGUACCUAAUCAGAAAGCCACGGCUAACUACGUG
RNAcentral lists this ribosomal RNA (497 nucleotides) under uncultured bacterium. Its description in RNAcentral is "partial 16S ribosomal RNA". It matches the Rfam family "Bacterial small subunit ribosomal RNA", at positions 28 to 507 of the family's 1533-position model. The record is from RNAcentral.